GGGGAUAUAGCUCAGUUGGUAGAGUGCUUGCCUUGCAUGCAUGAGGCCCUGGGUUCAAUCCCCAGCACCACCA
This 73-nucleotide transfer RNA is filed under the name Marmota marmota marmota (Alpine marmot). It matches the Rfam family "tRNA". From Rfam's summary of the family: Transfer RNA (tRNA) molecules are approximately 80 nucleotides in length. Lineage: Eukaryota; Metazoa; Chordata; Mammalia; Rodentia; Sciuridae. RNAcentral also lists the same sequence under 1 other name. The record is from Rfam by way of RNAcentral.